GACGAACGCUGGCGGCGUGCUUAACACAUGCAAGUCGAACGAAGAGCGAUGGAAGCUUGCUUCUAUCAAUCUUAGUGGCGAACGGGUGAGUAACGCGUAAUCAACCUGCCCUUCAGAGGGGGACAACAGUUGGAAACGACUGCUAAUACCGCAUACGAUCUAAUCUCGGCAUCGAGGAUAGAUGAAAGGUGGCUUCUACAUGUAAGCUAUCACUGAAGGAGGGGAUUGCGUCUGAUUAGCUAGUUGGAGGGGUAACGGCCCACCAAGGCGAUGAUCAGUAGCCCGUCUGAGAGGAUGAACGGCCACAUUGGGACUGAGACACGGCCCAGACUCCUACGGGAGGCAGCAGUGGGGAAUCUUCCGCAAUGGACGAAAGUCUGACGGAGCAACGCCGCGUGAGUGAUGACGGCCUUCGGGUUGUAAAGCUCUGUUAAUCGGGACGAAAGGCCUUCUUGCGAAUAGUGAGAAGGAUUGACGGUACCGGAAUAGAAAGCCACGGCUAACUACGUG
Molecule: ribosomal RNA, 510 nt
Filed under: uncultured bacterium
Lineage: Bacteria
Description: partial 16S ribosomal RNA
Rfam family: Bacterial small subunit ribosomal RNA
Source: RNAcentral